UUAAUACCGGACAUUCUCCUUCCUCCGCAUGGUGGUUGGUGGAAAGUUUUUUCGGCCAGGGAGGGGCUCGCGGCCUAUCAGCUUGUUGGCGGGGUAACGGCCCACCAAGGCGACGACGGGUAGCCGGCCUGAGAGGGCGACCGGCCACACUGGGACUGAGACACGGCCCAGACUCCUACGGGAGGCAGCAGUGGGGAAUAUUGCGCAAUGGGCGGAAGCCUGACGCAGCGACGCCGCGUGGGGGAUGAAGGCCUUCGGGUUGUAAACCCCUUUCACCAGGAGCGAAAACAGACGGUACCUGGGGAAGAAGCGCCGGCUAACUACG
RNAcentral lists this ribosomal RNA (325 nucleotides) under uncultured Actinomycetes bacterium. RNAcentral describes it as "bacterial SSU rRNA". It matches the Rfam family "Bacterial small subunit ribosomal RNA", at positions 163 to 505 of the family's 1533-position model. The record is from RNAcentral. Lineage: Bacteria; Bacillati; Actinomycetota; Actinomycetes.